Molecule: ribosomal RNA, 253 nt
Filed under: uncultured bacterium
Lineage: Bacteria
Description: partial 16S ribosomal RNA
Rfam family: Bacterial small subunit ribosomal RNA
Source: RNAcentral
UACGUAGGUGGCAAGCGUUGUCCGGAUUUACUGGGCGUAAAGGGCGUGCAGGCGGUUUGUUAAGUGCAGGGUGAAAGCUCCCGGCUCAACUGGGAGAGGUCCUUGCAUACUGGCAAACUCGAGGGAGGCAGAGGAAAGUGGAAUUCCCGGUGUAGUGGUGAUAUGCGUAGAUAUCGGAAGGAACAUCAGUGGCGAAAGCGACUUCCUGGACCAAUACUGACGCUCAUGUGCGAAAGCGUGGGGAGCAAACAGG